RNAcentral lists this ribosomal RNA (387 nucleotides) under uncultured bacterium. Its description in RNAcentral is "bacterial SSU rRNA". It matches the Rfam family "Bacterial small subunit ribosomal RNA", at positions 30 to 417 of the family's 1533-position model. The record is from RNAcentral.
AUUGAACGCUGGCGGCAUGCCUUACACAUGCAAGUCGAACGGCAGCACGGACUUCGGUCUGGUGGCGAGUGGCGAACGGGUGAGUAAUGUAUCGGAACGUACCUUUCAGUGGGGGAUAACGUAGCGAAAGUUACGCUAAUACCGCAUAUUCUGUGAGCAGGAAAGCAGGGGAUCGCAAGACCUUGCGCUGAUUGAGCGGCCGAUAUCAGAUUAGCUAGUUGGUGGGGUAAAGGCCUACCAAGGCUACGAUCUGUAGCGGGUCUGAGAGGAUGAUCCGCCACACUGGAACUGAGACACGGUCCAGACUCCUACGGGAGGCAGCAGUGGGGAAUUUUGGACAAUGGGGGCAACCCUGAUCCAGCCAUGCCGCGUGAGUGAAGAAGGCCU